This 1347-nucleotide ribosomal RNA is filed under the name Sinomonas soli. RNAcentral's name for it is "16S ribosomal RNA". It matches the Rfam family "Bacterial small subunit ribosomal RNA", at positions 69 to 1425 of the family's 1533-position model. The record is from RNAcentral. Lineage: Bacteria; Bacillati; Actinomycetota; Actinomycetes; Micrococcales; Micrococcaceae.
AUGAAGCCCUUCGGGGUGGAUUAGUGGCGAACGGGUGAGUAACACGUGAGCAACCUGCCCUUGACUCUGGGAUAAGCCUGGGAAACUGGGUCUAAUACCGGAUACUACUUCCUGCCGCAUGGUGGGGGGUGGAAAGCCUUGUGCGGUCUUGGAUGGGCUCGCGGCCUAUCAGCUUGUUGGUGGGGUAAUGGCCUACCAAGGCGACGACGGGUAGCCGGCCUGAGAGGGUGACCGGCCACACUGGGACUGAGACACGGCCCAGACUCCUACGGGAGGCAGCAGUGGGGAAUAUUGCACAAUGGGCGGAAGCCUGAUGCAGCGACGCCGCGUGGGGGAUGACGGCCUUCGGGUUGUAAACCCCUUUCGGCAGGGAACAAGCCUUUCGGGGUGAGGGUACCUGCGGAAGAAGCGCCGGCUAACUACGUGCCAGCAGCCGCGGUAAUACGUAGGGCGCGAGCGUUAUCCGGAAUUAUUGGGCGUAGAGAGCUCGUAGGCGGUUUGUCGCGUCUGCUGUGAAAGCCCGGGGCUCAACCCCGGGUCUGCAGUGGGUACGGGCAGGCUGGAGUGCAGUAGGGGAGACUGGAAUUCCUGGUGUAGCGGUGAAAUGCGCAGAUAUCAGGAGGAACACCGAUGGCGAAAGGCAGGUCUCUGGGCUGUAACUGACGCUGAGGAGCGAAAGCAUGGGGAGCGAACAGGAUUAGAUACCCUGGUAGUCCAUGCCGUAAACGUUGGGCACUAGGUGUGGGGGCCAUUCCACGGUUUCCGCGCCGCAGCUAACGCAUUAAGUGCCCCGCCUGGGGAGUACGGCCGCAAGGCUAAAACUCAAAGGAAUUGACGGGGGCCCCGCACAAGCGGCGGAGCAUGCGGAUUAAUUCGAUGCAACGCGAAGAACCUUACCAAGGCUUGACAUGUGCCGGACCGUCCCAGAGAUGGGGCUUCCCUUCGGGGCCGGUUCACAGGUGGUGCAUGGUUGUCGUCAGCUCGUGUCGUGAGAUGUUGGGUUAAGUCCCGCAACGAGCGCAACCCUCGUUCCAUGUUGCCAGCACUUCGGGUGGGGACUCAUGGGAGACUGCCGGGGUCAACUCGGAGGAAGGUGGGGACGACGUCAAAUCAUCAUGCCCCUUAUGUCUUGGGCUUCACGCAUGCUACAAUGGCCGGUACAAAGGGUUGCGAUACUGUGAGGUGGAGCCAAUCCCAGAAAGCCGGUCUCAGUUCGGAUUGGGGUCUGCAACUCGACCCCAUGAAGUCGGAGUCGCUAGUAAUCGCAGAUCAGCAACGCUGCGGUGAAUACGUUCCCGGGCCUUGUACACACCGCCCGUCAAGUCACGAAAGUCGGUAACACCCGAA